Folsomia candida is the source of this 1410-nucleotide long non-coding RNA. RefSeq lists it as uncharacterized. The transcript has 2 exons. Lineage: Eukaryota; Metazoa; Arthropoda; Collembola; Entomobryomorpha; Isotomidae. The record is from RefSeq and is a predicted model, not a curated record.
AAGGGCAUCAAGAUCCCAGAAGGGCAGGUGGUGAAGCUCCCCUCCUUAGUGAAACCGGCGGCGGCUGUCCUGCUGACACAGAUGACGACCAACAAUUAACCGGAUUCAUUGAGGUGGAAGAAGAAUUCUGCGUAAAAGUCGAGCCUGUCGUCGACGAUAUCACGCCAUACGAACCCGAAAUGUCGACAAAGAGUGACGACUCCGACGACGACUCCGACGAGUUAGAUACAACUACAGAUAAAGAGCGUUGUAGACCAUGUAAAAUUAAUUUUAAUCGUAAAAGAAAAUUACUACGUGAGCACUUUAAACUUGUGCAUGAUAAGAUAGUCGUAGACAUCGACAGGAAACUAUUCUGCCUCAAGUGCAAUAAAGGUAACAACUCCAUCAACAACUUCAACAGGCAUCCUAAAACUUGCCGAGGUAAAAGGGACCCGGCCAAUACGUAUAAGAAGAUUGUGAUUGUUAGUCAUGUGCACAAACUCAGCGAAGCUUUUAAAGUGCAAAUUGUGAACCUUUUACAACAAGGCAUCCAAAUUCAGGAAUAAUUUAAUAGCUACUUUAUAUGCAAAUACAUAAAUAUGCUUUGUAUUUAUGUAUGGAUGUAUCUUUUUUUUACAUUAUCAAUCAAAUCAUCCAAAGUCAUUGAAGGAGUCAUUGCCAUACUGUCAAUUUAUCCGAGCGAAAAAAAUAUGCUCAAAUCCGGAGGAUGCCGAGAGACAAAUUAAUUUAAUUACUGACAAGUUUACUAAUAGAGGAUAUCCUAAAAAUGUUUUAAAAUUGUGUAAUGAAAUGGUACUUCUUAUGAAUAGAUAUGAUUUACUCAUACCCAAAACUGAUUUGGUGAUAAUACACCUGAAACAAAUCCAACCCCAAAUUCUCGAUACAUACAAAUAGAAUAUGAGUUGUAAUCCAAUACAGGAAAAUGAAGUAUAUAUAGUUAUACCUUUCUAUUAGAAUAUGUAUGGGUUCAAAAAACUUCUACUACAAUACAUACGUGAACAAGCUGACAAGAGUACCAAUGUUAGAUACAAAAAGAUAGUCAAUAAUCUAAAUUUAGUGUUGUCUUUAAAACGGCGAACUCUCUUGAAAUGUACUGUAAAAGCCACCCAACAAAAUAAUGUCAUUUUUAAAGUGUAAGUCUCAAAAUUAAAACGGCUGAAUCUCAAAAAUACGAACUUUAUUCUAAAAAAUCACCACGUAGGUAAUUAUUUAUAAAAAUUUAUUUAUACAAUUUAUUAAUAGCUGGAUAUAUAUUUUGUCAAUCUUACUGGCACAUUACAUUCUUAUGUCUUAUUUUUUAUCCAAUUGUAACUUUACUUAAUUUAAACAUAAUGUAUUUUUACAGCCUGAUGAAGCUGAAUUAUAUUACGAAACGCGUCGCUGGUGAAUAAAACCAAUUUUUUGAAAUCA